CCUACGGGUGGCAGCAGUGAGGAAUAUUGGUCAAUGGUCGGGAGACUGAACCAGCCAAGCCGCGUGAGGGAUGAAGGUACAGAGUAUCGUAAACCUCUUUUGUCAGGGAACAAAGGCGGGGACGUGUCCCCGUAUGAGUUUACCUGCAGAAAAAGCAUCGGCUAACUCCGUGCCAGCAGCCGCGGUAAUACGGAUGAUGCGAGCGUUAUCCGGAUUUAUUGGGUUUAAAGGGUGCGCAGGCGGUCUGGUAAGUCAGCGGGCAAAGCCCGGGGCUCAACCCGGACCCGCCGUUGAAACUGGCAGUCUAGAGUUGGAGAGAAGUAUGCAGAAUGCGAGGUGUAGCGGUGAAAUGCAUAGAUAUCGCGCAGAACUCCGAUUGCGAAGGCAGCAUGCCGGCUCCACACUGACGCUGAGGCACGAAAGCGUGGGUAUCGAACAGGAUUAGAUACCCGGGUAGUC
Molecule: ribosomal RNA, 459 nt
Filed under: uncultured bacterium
Lineage: Bacteria
Description: partial 16S ribosomal RNA
Rfam family: Bacterial small subunit ribosomal RNA
Source: RNAcentral